AACGAACGCUGGCGGCAUGCCUAAUACAUGCAAGUCGAACGAGAUCUUCGGAUCUAGUGGCGCACGGGUGCGUAACGCGUGGGAAUCUGCCCUUGGGUUCGGAAUAACAUCUGGAAACGGAUGCUAAUACCGGAUGAUGACGUAAGUCCAAAGAUUUAUCGCCCAAGGAUGAGCCCGCGUAGGAUUAGCUAGUUGGUGAGGUAAAGGCUCACCAAGGCUACGAUCCUUAGCUGGUCUGAGAGGAUGAUCAGCCACACUGGGACUGAGACACGGCCCAGACUCCUACGGGAGGCAGCAGUAGGGAAUAUUGGACAAUGGGGGCAACCCUGAUCCAGCAAUGCCGCGUGUGUGAUGAAGGCCUUAGGGUUGUAAAGCUCUUUUACCCGAGAUGAUAAUGACAGUAUCGGGAGAAUAAGCUCCGGCUAACCCCGUGCCAGCAGCCGCGGUAAUACGGAGGGAGCUAGCGUUGUUCGGAAUUACUGGGCGUAAAGCGCACGUAGGCGGUUAUUUAAGUCAGAGGUGAAAGCCCGGGGCUCAACCCCGGAACUGCCUUUGAGACUGGAUAACUUGAAUCCAGGAGAGGUGAGUGGAAUUCCGAGUGUAGAGGUGGAAUUCGUAGAUAUUCGGAAGAACACCAGUGGCGAAGGCGGCUCACUGGACUGGUAUUGACGCUGAGGUGCGAAAGCGUGGGGAGCAAACAGG
RNAcentral lists this ribosomal RNA (702 nucleotides) under uncultured Alphaproteobacteria bacterium. RNAcentral's name for it is "bacterial SSU rRNA". It matches the Rfam family "Bacterial small subunit ribosomal RNA", at positions 28 to 776 of the family's 1533-position model. Lineage: Bacteria; Pseudomonadati; Pseudomonadota; Alphaproteobacteria. The record is from RNAcentral.